GUUCCCCGUCAGGUUCCCCGUCCCCAGGACCGUGUGAGGGUUCUCCCCAGGGGCCCCGGUAAAGGACACAUACAAGUACCCCUGGAGGGGUCGCGGGAGUUACCAGACGAGUGGUCUCGAGGAACGCCACGAGAGACCCCAUGAGAGCCCAUGCGAGGAUUCCUGUGAGGAGCCCUGUCAGAGACCGCGUGAGGGACCCCCUGAGUGCUACCAUGACCGGGCCCCUUGAAGGACCCCCAUGGCUUAGGAACAGGGCAUUUUGGAACCAGUUCUGCACUUACAGUAAUGUAAUCGUCUCCUCUUACAAGGCUGGACACAGGGAGGCACCCUGUUGACAAGGGGAAAACUCUUGGAUUUCAAGGAAGAAUAGCUGCACUACAGGAGGAGAAACUCAAAUAAAGCAUGGUGGGGGGUUCUCCCUGGGAGAACAGGGAGGGGUUGGCACAGUAGAAAUGUAUUAGAGAACUUGGUGCAGCUUCUGGCAGCCUAAACCCAGUGAUGACAGGACAGAUGGCAAGAAAGGAUAGUCAAUACAACUUGACUCCCUGAGAUGAGGAGUUUUGAGUUGUGGGUCAGGAGGAGAAGGAAAAAAAAAAACAAAAAACAAAACCAUUUCUUUCAUUUAGUCUUUUUACUGCUGUGCAUUUUUUCCAUUGUGUACAGCACCUCUGGUUGCCCAAAAUGCAGUGGUCCUUACCCUUUGGGUGUCAUUGCAAGGCAUGUUAAAUCUAGGCUUAGUUAGCCUGUGUGGAAGUUGGUCCCUGCUUGGUGCUGAGCAGGCAGGGCUGGUGAUAGUCAGAGUGUUCAGCUCCUGGUGCCACUAGUGAUGAUGUCCCAUGGUCCUUGACCUUUGCUGUGGUCUGAUAUCCUGUACUGUUGUUUGCUCAUCCCCUAUCCCUUGAACCCAUAUUCUCCAUGUAAGCAGAAAGGGCAUAAAAUCUGAUUUUACCCUAAACAGUAUCUGAAAAUUAACUGCUGUUUUUCAUGCUUCUGCCUUUUCUCUGUAGAGCAGAUAGAUUUAGCCAGUCUGCAUCCUUGACAGCUACUGCAUAGGUGGACAGGAACUACAACAGAUCCUGCUGCUGCUGAGGAGCUGCAAGAUCUCCCUGUUCCCAUUUUUUCUUGGUAAGAUAGAGGCUUCUUUGAACAAAAUUGAAAUUCAGACCAAACAGUGCACAGGUAUUGUUGAUUUUUCUUGAUGCAGCUGUUGAUAUUUUAUUUUAUUACUAUUGCAGGGGGACAGUUAAUUACAGCUGUAAACAAAGUUUCACAAGCUUUGUGACAAACGUCUGCAGCUCCAUAAUCUGUGUGGAUUUAAUCAGUAUUAUUAGUAUUCUUCCAUCAUGGCUUGGCAAUCCUUUGAUAAUCAAGAUGGAAAUUUGAUGUGCAGCAUGAAACAACAAAGGCUGAGAGCUCUUGAGAUGCUGUUGUCAGAUGGUAUAGUGCCAGCUGGAAUGUGUCUCUGAAAAUUGCACAGAAUCCAUCCCGAGAGUGUCACACUGUAUUAGGAGCGGUGACAGUGACGACAUAGACUCUCAGCUUAGUGGCAAAGAGAGAGCACAUUUUAUUCUUGCAGAUCUUCUUUUAUAGACAGUUCCAAGAAGGUCUGAAAAGAUUGAGACAGUUACACAUAUCUGAACUUGAUACUGAUCCUGCAGAGCCUUGCUUAAACACCUAUUUCAGAAGGAUGCUGGCAGGGGUCAACUUGUGUAGAGCACGCUCUUUUAACGGCAGUGAAACAGGACAGCUGUGUGAAAGCCUCAGUCUCCUAUGCAGUGCAGAUAUGUCGAAGUGCUACAGCUGGAGUUUUGGGAUGCAAGAUCUCCCUAAAACCUGUAGUCCUAUACCAGAUUGUCCAGGUACAUUUACCUGUGCUGUUCAACCCUUCUAAGAGGUGAACUAGGAAGAAAUGGGAGAAGAGGAAGAUACCAAAGAUAGAAAACAAAGUUAAAUCCAUUUGUUCUACUUGGAAAAGUGACCGUCAUAAAAACAGCACCUGACUGAAUUUAAAUUAAAGAACUCUGAAACUGACAUGAAGCAAAAAGAGCUCAACAGUAUGUGUACACUGUGGUAUAGAGAGAACAGAUAGCACAGAAAACACACAGACCUUAGAGUUCCAUGACCAUGUAUUAAUGUCAAUACACUGAUGACUAAUCAUGCUGAUUCUACAAAGGUAGCCUCAUGGAUCAACAGAGUGCAGUACUGUAAUUCAGUUAAUUAUGCAUAGGCAUGUCCAUGGAAGACCACAGCAAGUGAAGAUAUAGUAUAGAAGAUAAAGAAGUUCCUGUUUCUAUGCUCUUAUGAGACGUAAUGUAUCAAUUGUACUGUCUGCAUAAGAUUCAGAAACUCAACCCAAAUUCCAGAUGUCAGUUUGAGGUUUGUAAACAAAUGUAUCUUUAGAAAACUAAGCCAAAUGUAUGCCUUUGUGUUGAAAAAAACAAAAACAAAAAUCCUUUUCAGAGGGGAGAAACAAUUUGAAAGGUAACAGAACACUGAGCUCCAUGAGCAGACAGGCUAGUUUCACAUACUAUCUGCAGUUUCCCACUGUUCCAUUUGUAAGCUGCAUCAAUGACUUGGAACAGGUUAAAAAAUGUGCACUGUAAUAUUUCAAGAGAACUGUUACUACUUUGCUUGACAGCUUCUAUGAUAGUUCAGGAUUCAGCGCUGUUUCUGAUACAGGUCAUGACAGAAACAAGCUGAGAAAGCCUCUGUUAGAUGGGUGGAAUUGGAGGAGUUGUUAACAAACAUCAGACCCUGGAUUCAGAACAAAAGCCAUCAAGUAUCAGCAAGUCCCAAUUAUUUUUUUUUCCUCAAAGCUUUGGAUCUUAUUAAAAAUAUUUGUGAAAAAAACCAAAACAUUUAAACCAGUUCACUGUAGGAAAUCCUACCUUCAGGCAACAAAUUAUGAUCACUGCACAUUUUAAAACACCUUGUGCAUUUUGUGCAUCUUAUGCACCACAGGCAGUAGGGAAGAUCCAGCAUUUAUCUACACAUGAACAUACAAGCAAGCACUGACAGGUGUUACUGGCAAGACUGAUACCAAGACCAACCAGCACAUUGAUUUGUCUACACCACAUCCUAAGACAAAUGGAACAAGUCACAAGUAACAGUACAAACCUGUUGCAAUUUUAACACAUAUAUCUUAGAAAAAGAUAAUGCAUGUACUCAACCCUAGGACAGUGACAAAUUUGAGAUAACUAUAAAGAUCAAGGUACCAGAAGAGGAAGGCACAUUAACCUCUGGUUGGUCCAUUUCAGUACUAUUUGGAUGAGUCAUAGUGAUUUAUACCCUGAGACUGUGGGAGGCCUUGAAUAUGAAAAGAGACCAGGUGAAUGGGCAAAUAAAAAGUACAAGUUUAAUGAGAUUGUAAGAUUCAGCACCUGAAUUUUCCCUUUUAGUACGGGAAUCUAGAAAAGCAGUUCCUAAGAAAAUGCUGUAUUGACUCCUAAAUUUUUUGUCCUGAAGGCAAAAAAAUCAAUUCAAGAGAAUCUUGGACUAAAGACAUUGCAUUAUGUUGCAAGGGGUUUUAUACACCCUCUCAGUUUUAGUACAGCAACCACUAUUUGUAUACAAUCAAGUGUUAGUAGUUAUUUGGGUAUAGAAACAGUCAGACAGCCCACAUUAUCCCACCUCUGCCAACCCCAGCACUCCAUUUUAAAUCUUUCUGCACUUUUUUAGACUACACUGCUCCCAGCAGGAUACUAGUGGGAAAGGCUGUUAGGAAAUGAAGGAUUUCUUUCUGCAAGAGCAUUCUUUUAAUUAGCCAAGUACCACAUGGUUUUCUUGAAAAAAACCAACAUCACAAGGAAGAAGAUCCUGCCUAAUUUUAUCCUUGAAAAAAACCACAAAGAAUCAGAAAAUGUCAGGGAUAUAUAUUUGAUCUCUCAAAGAUGUUUCUGAUUAAGCAUUUACAUAUCCCCUCUACUUUUUUAAUUCUUCAGGAGUUCCAAGAGCCAUACCAAACACUGCUUACUUUUUACUGUUUCUCUGGUGUUACUUAACCAUCCUCACUACGCAAAGUACUCAUGUACAGCGGCAAAGGAGAGCACCUCACACAAGACGUGGAUGUGUUCUUUUUUCCACUCUCCCUUGUCCUGGGGUGUCUGCUUCAGAAUUUCAAGUAAGUUACUGAGGGCGCUGUAAGACUCGGAAAUGGUUUUAAGUUGAGGUCAUACCAUGGGCUCACUGUGGGGUGGCCAGCAGGGCACACAGGGAAUUUCACUUAACUUUAAACUAAAACAUUUGUGCCUGGUAGGUCAGGUGUCCCUGGCUCAGCAUAGGCUGGCUGGAGGAUCAGCUCCACCUGCAUGACACACAGCUCUGCAAUGGAGUUCCUUAGGAAUAAGCUGUACCCCAGUCCAGUAAUUCAGUCAUAGCAGCAAUUGCAAAAGUAACUAAGUAAGAAGCUAUCAGACACCUUGGAAAAGUGCAUUUAUUGAAAAUAAGGGUAACAGACCACUAAAAACAGACCUUCCACCUGGCUGCUGUAAGAUGCUGCUGCUUUCCCACAUGCACUAACUGACAGCCCACCUAUCCUUGGUUUCUUGCAAACAAAGCAAACAAUAACCUCUGGAGGGUCUAGGAAGCCUGCUUUGUUUCACACCUGCAUCAGAUGAGGCACAGCAGUUCAAAAGGCCUGUAAUGCCUCUCAGCUGAGUGGUACAAAUUAAGACAACAAAGCACCACUUGACAUAGCUGGAUCAUAAAUUUAAUCUGUUAACUUUGCAGCUGCAAGCUAUAAGACAAAGCAAGUGCUCAGGUAAAGGAACAGGAUGAAAUUCUGGAAGGAAAUGAUCCCCAAGUAUCUUAAUCCUUUAGAUAAAAAAGCUGCCGAAGACCUAAAAUGGAGGCAGCAAAUAUAAACCCCUUAAUGCUAUUAAAAAUUUCCUCUCAUGAAGACAAUCACAAGAGUCACCCACAAUAUGACUAAUUUUUGUGAACAGGCUAAGUCCAGCAAGAUCACUGGGCACUCUUGCAAUGAUCUAAAAAAUGGAUCUGUGAGGAGAAUUAACAACUUGGACUAGGAGCAUAAACCUACUAUCAACUAUUCUUUGGUAAUUUCUUCGUCUCAAACUAACACCAGCAGCACUGAUGAGGGAAUCAAACAAAUGGACUUGCUUCUUUACUGCAAUCCCAGAAAGCACCAGAGGAGAGCACUAGUAAUUCUCCCUACAAGACAUGACUGUACAAGGGAGAAACCUGGAGGAAUUACAGGAAUAAGGUGUUUAGUGAAGAGGAUGAGCACAACACUUAUUUACUGUGCUCAAGCCAAUACUACAAAGUAGCUUCUGAUUCCUCAGGAAUGUCCCAUGAUGUAACAUCCAUCUGUUACUGAGGAGUUGCUACCCUGUAUUUACAAGCUAGGUAUUACCAAACCCAUAACUGAGUCACUAGUUUGAUUACCUGUCAUGAAUACUGAAAAUGUAAUAUUCAAAAAUACCCAAAUUAACAUGGUAGUUUACUGAAGAGAGCUGAGCAGUAGAAUUAACUGCUUCCUAAACUCACUGGUAGCACGGAAGAUCCCAUACAACUGAGAAGUCAGUAGCAGCCAGUCUGAAGGCAUGUUAUGCUGUAAAUUCUCUCCUUCAAGCAAGAUAAACCAGGGUAUGCUCCCCACCCAUACAGACUGCUACAGUGUAAUUGUAUCAGUCAAACAUGCAUAAGGGCAACUACCCAGU
Cyanistes caeruleus (blue tit) is the source of this 5678-nucleotide non-coding RNA. Lineage: Eukaryota; Metazoa; Chordata; Aves; Passeriformes; Paridae. The record is from RefSeq and is a predicted model, not a curated record.